RNAcentral lists this ribosomal RNA (502 nucleotides) under uncultured bacterium. Its description in RNAcentral is "partial 16S ribosomal RNA". It matches the Rfam family "Bacterial small subunit ribosomal RNA", at positions 30 to 523 of the family's 1533-position model. The record is from RNAcentral.
AUUGAACGCUGGCGGCAGGCUUAACACAUGCAAGUCGAGCGGGGUGAUGGUGCUUGCACUAUCACUUAGCGGCGGACGGGUGAGUAAUGCUUAGGAAUCCGCCUAUUAGUGGGGGACAACAUCUCGAAAGGGAUGCUAAUACCGCAUACGUCCUACGGGAGAAAGCAGGGGAUCUUUAUGACCUUGCGCUAAUAGAUGAGCCUAAGUCGGAUUAGCUAGUUGGUGGGGUAAAGGCCUACCAAGGCGACGAUCUGUAGCGGGUCUGAGAGGAUGAUCAGCCACACUGGGACUGAGACACGGCCCAGACUCCUACGGGAGGCAGCAGUGGGGAAUAUUGGACAAUGGGGGGAACCCUGAUCUAGCCAUGCCGCGUGUGUGAAGAAGGCCUUAUGGUUGUAAAGCACUUUAAGCGAGGAGGAGGCUCCUUUGGUUAAUACCCAGAAUGAGUGGACGUUACUCGCAGAAUAAGCACCGGCUAACUCUGUGCCAGCAGCCGCCGUAA